AUUGAACGCUGGCGGCAUGCCUUACACAUGCAAGUCGAACGGCAGCAUGGAGAGCUUGCUCUCUGAUGGCGAGUGGCGAACGGGUGAGUAAUGCAUCGGAACGUACCGUGUAAUGGGGGAUAACGUAGCGAAAGUUACGCUAAUACCGCAUACGACCUGAGGGUGAAAGCAGGAGAUCGCAAGACCUUGCGUUAUACGAGCGGCCGAUGUCAGAUUAGCUAGUUGGUGAGGUAAAGGCUCACCAAGGCGACGAUCUGUAGCGGGUCUGGGAGGAUGAUCCGCCACACUGGGACUGAGACACGGCCCAGACUCCUACGGGAGGCAGCAGUGGGGAAUUUUGGACAAUGGGGGCAACCCUGAUCCAGCCAUGCCGCGUGAGUGAAGAAGGCCUUCGGGUUGUAAAGCUCUUUCGGCCGGGAAGAAAUCGCACAGGCUAAUACUCUGUGUGGAUGACGGUACCGGCAUAAGAAGCACCGGCUAACUACGUGCCAGCAGCCGCCGUAA
RNAcentral lists this ribosomal RNA (504 nucleotides) under uncultured bacterium. Its description in RNAcentral is "partial 16S ribosomal RNA". It matches the Rfam family "Bacterial small subunit ribosomal RNA", at positions 30 to 523 of the family's 1533-position model. The record is from RNAcentral.